AGCAGUGAUGACCCACACAUUGAGACCCAGCCAGGCGCAGGAGCCCAGCCUGCUGGGCCUGGGGGCAGAUGCCAGUCUCUCCUGCUAAAGGACCCUGGCCCAGCCUUUGUCCAAGACAGGCAGAGAAACCAAGCCACUCCACAGUGGCUCACAGAGAAUUAUGGGAGGAAAUAUCCUGAGUCCCAGGACCCCAGCAUUUUAAAACCACUGCCCCUCCUAGUCGCUGCCACUGAGGCCCUCACCCCACGUGACACAACAGCAACCACAUGGCGCCACCGUGAAACCAACUUGCCAAAAAGAGGAAAGGAGGAGGCAGGUGUGGUAGCACACACCUGCCUCUGUGGUCCGGGACUGCAAGCAGAAGUCACCACUGUCACUCUUCACACUGUCCAGCCCACCUGUGUGCUGGACCCACGCAUGGGACCUCCAGCUGUGGAGACCACAAGGAAGUGUCACUCCUUCAGGGUGCUUGGAUCGGAAGCAACGGAAGCAGUGCAGGUGACCAACAACGUGGGCAGAAGAGCCAAAGGGAGACAGGAACCAGAGCAAGACCCUCAGGAAAGAGGACUCCAGAGCUGCUGCAGAAAGCGGCGAGGAUGAUGGAAUGAGCGUGUCCAAAGCAAGAGGGAGAAUUCUGAGGAUGACUCAUGGCAGUGUGUCUUUUACUGUAAUACAUUUUAAAAAUUUUAAAUGUUCACUGUAUAUAUUGAUCACACCUUAUUAAAUAUAUGAGAUGUACUCAUAUGUUCAAAUACAUCUUAUAUAAUAAAUGCAAAUAAGUACAUAAUCCUUGUAUAAAUAUUUGCUUAAUGGAUAAAUGAAAUGCAUGAAUAAAAACUGAGAAACUGGUCUUAUAAAAGAGUUCUGGGC
Molecule: long non-coding RNA, 870 nt
Filed under: Chinchilla lanigera (long-tailed chinchilla)
Lineage: Eukaryota; Metazoa; Chordata; Mammalia; Rodentia; Chinchillidae
Description: lncRNA (ENSCLAG00000022999.1)
Source: RNAcentral